Molecule: unclassified non-coding RNA, 201 nt
Filed under: fungal sp.
Lineage: Eukaryota; Fungi
Description: partial internal transcribed spacer region
Rfam family: Eukaryotic small subunit ribosomal RNA (bases 1-46)
Source: RNAcentral
AAGUCGUAACAAGGUUUCCGUAGGUGAACCUGCGGAAGGAUCAUUAACAAAUUUCCAACACCCGUGUUCUUCAGUGGGUUAGAGUCCUCCGGGUCUCUACUUACUGAGGUUAUCACUCUAUACAUUUACUUUUAAACAACAACUAUAACCAAAAGAUAUCAAUGUGAAAAACAACUUUUAACAAUGGAUCUCUUGGCUCUU